GCGAGUCCCUACGGAAGUAAAGUAAAACUUGUCACUUGUGUUCUCAACCAUACGUAGAUAGCAACAACAUUAACAUCAUCUGGUGAUGACAGAUCAACCCUUAUUUGUUGAUAAGCUUCGGGACUUGAUGACAACGGUAGCCGUCGAAAUUUGUAUCGUCAACAAACGGUGUAGCCAUUUUAGUAAGAGAUGUAGGAUCGGCAGCUAAGUGAAGUUGAUGAAAUAUGAUGAGACUAACCCAAUCAGUAGGAUCGCUUAUUUUCAAAAUUAAACCAAUAUGUUUCAUUUCCUCAAAUUUUUCUUUAAACUGGGUCUCUAUGAUGAGCUGGGCGCACCAAAGGUAAGCUGACUUUUAAAUUUAAAUGCCAUGUUCUAACGGCAGUCAAUUCAAUUGAACACUGACUCAAAUUUGUUAAUUAAAUUAGUCACUGAUGUUUCUUAAUGAAUAAAAGGUUCACUUUUCAUUUUAGGGUUUUGUAAUGAAUCAAUUAACUUGACUACAUUGAGGACCUUACACGAAGGCAGACCCGGUCAACACCGGAACAUCAACGUCUUCAGCCACGACACAAAUUAAAGGAAAUAUUGUUAUACGCCACAUCAAGUCGUUCUUGUCCUACCACGUUUACUGGCUGUCUAUGGUUUGCUGUAACUCUUGGACCAGGUUCACACUUUUUACUUGCAACAACUUUUUCAAAAACGUGCCUUGGUAGUACAUUACACUGCUCUCUUGUGUCCACAUUAAACAUUUAGGUAAAAAUCACACUCUAAAUUUUGAGACCCGUUCUACGUAGUACGGGUACGUACUAUGUAAUAAAUUGUCUACUGUAUUUUGAGUUCCUUUUUUCCUUUGUUGUUUUCCAUCAUCAAACUGAAACCCUUUUU
This 882-nucleotide long non-coding RNA is filed under the name Daphnia pulicaria. Its description in RNAcentral is "uncharacterized LOC124335789, transcript variant X3". Lineage: Eukaryota; Metazoa; Arthropoda; Branchiopoda; Diplostraca; Daphniidae. The record is from RNAcentral.